ACUAUGUUUCUGUUGAAUGAAAAGUUUGUUACUACAAGGUAGAAUUUUAGUCAAAAUUAUAAUUAUGUAAACAAAAACAAAUCUAUGAUAGAAAGAUUUCUGGGUGGAGAAUUUCUAGAACAAUAAGUAUUGUCAACACCAUGAACAUUAUUUGAAGAAUUAUAAAACUUCAUGGUUGAUAACAACACAACCUUUGAAGGUUUGCAAACUAUUAUGAGUCUUAUAAGUAGUGUUGAUAUAGUUCAGUUAGUGAGAGCCUACUGAAUAUACAAAUUAAAUACUAUGAUUGUAAAGUACUGAUACAAUUAUCACUAGGUGGUAUUAAUGGUAUAGGAAUGUAAUUCAUGAAUACAAAUGACCUAAAGAUUUUAAGGUUGCUAGAAACCACAUGAUUCAUGGAAAUAUAAUUGGACAGGAUAUUAUAGUAAUACAUGUAUUAGUACUUAAGUAAUAUCAGGUAUUGAGAAUGAAAAUACUAUGCUAUAUUUAUCUGUAGGAGUAUGAUAGUGAUACACAGUUAUUAUUUAGAAAGUUAUGAUCUUGAUUUUGUUGUCUACGAAGACAUGACUGUACCUGAGCAGGUUGGUCUUUCUCAUUGCUUUACAUUGUUUAUUGGAUCAACAUUUGUAAAUAUUUUUUUAUUCAAUUAUUAUUGUUAUUUAUAUAUAUGUACAUAUUAUGUUCAAGUAGUUAUGAUGUAACAUGGACAUGGAUAUCAAUACAUAGCUGAAACAGAGGGAGUUUGAAGUAAAGUAAGCAGUAUGAGGGAUAGAAACUUGACCUUCCAAGAAUUCUCAUAUAAUAGAAAGUUGUGACUACAUCUUGUUCUAUGUUCAAUGACUGUGAUACGAGUGAUGUAUGAAUGGACAGGUUAGUGACAUUGUGUUAUAGUUUUAAGACAAACCAUAAAUAGAGGGAAUGUAGAAUAUUGCAUAUUCUAUGUUUCUAUUGAUUAUAUAUGGAUGUGUGAAUUGACAUAAGUAACAGAUGGUAUAAGUCACAAGGCUUUCUUUGUCCAAGAGCUCUGGAAUGUGGAUUUGGGGUUUUUGUCCUUAUAUGGUUAGAGUUAUAGUCUGACGUCAGUAUGGGCACUUCUAUAUAGUAACUGAAAAAAGAGACAUGAGGUCUCUUGGCUCUUGGCUCUCUCUUGGUUCUCUUUCCUGUACAAGAUGUAACUGUCCCAUCAGAAGUCCAGCAAUUACCAUCUGCUGUUGAAUGUCCAUUAUCAUGUAACAUUCUUUGUUGUUUUAUUAUGUAUCAGUAACUCAGA
This is a non-coding RNA of Pelobates cultripes (western spadefoot toad), 1270 nucleotides long. Lineage: Eukaryota; Metazoa; Chordata; Amphibia; Anura; Pelobatidae. The record is from the annotation of a GenBank genome assembly.